Molecule: microRNA precursor, 168 nt
Filed under: Pelobates cultripes (western spadefoot toad)
Lineage: Eukaryota; Metazoa; Chordata; Amphibia; Anura; Pelobatidae
Source: RNAcentral
GCAGACACAUUCCAGCCAAUCAGCAGCAGACCCUCCCUCCCAGGCCCUCCCACCUCCUGGACAGCAUCCAUUUUACAUUCAUUGUGGAGCUGCAUUCUUAGUGAGCUGUCCAGAAGGUGGGAGGGUCUGGGAGGGAGGGUCUGCUGCUGAUUGGCUGGAAUGUGUCUG